AUUUUUUCUGACAUCCAGCAGGCAUCAUUUCUGUUUUUUAGCUAUCUGACAGCUUGGGGACAGAUACGGGCCUUUGUUACGAACUGGGCCAGAGUAUUCUUUCUCGAGACUUUUCAAACUAGAGCUAGAAGAGAGGUGCCCCCUGUAUUAGUCAGCUACUGCUGCAUAACAAAGAACCAUAAAAUCAGAGUCACUUAAAACAGUGAGCACUUAUUUACUUCACAUCUCUUCAGGUCUGAUGAGUGGGCUCCACUGAUCUCAGCAGGCCUGCUCAUGUGUCUUUAGGCUGGCAGUGGGUGGUUUGAUUUAAGGAUGUCUCUAG
Molecule: long non-coding RNA, 322 nt
Filed under: Homo sapiens (human)
Lineage: Eukaryota; Metazoa; Chordata; Mammalia; Primates; Hominidae
Description: LHRI_LNC689.1
Source: RNAcentral